UACGUAGGGUGCAAGCGUUGUCCGGAAUUAUUGGGCGUAAAGAGCUCGUAGGCGGUCUGUCGCGUCGGCUGUGAAAUCCCGGAGCUCAACUCCGGGUCUGCAGUCGAUACGGGCAAACUGGAGUACUGCAGGGGAGACUGGAAUUCCUGGUGUAGCGGUGAAAUGCGCAGAUAUCAGGAGGAACACCGGUGGCGAAGGCGGGUCUCUGGGCAGUAACUGACGCUGAGACACGAAAGCCAGGGGAGCGAACGGG
This 253-nucleotide ribosomal RNA is filed under the name uncultured bacterium. RNAcentral's name for it is "partial 16S ribosomal RNA". It matches the Rfam family "Bacterial small subunit ribosomal RNA", at positions 524 to 776 of the family's 1533-position model. The record is from RNAcentral.